AUUGAACGCUGGCGGCAGGCCUAACACAUGCAAGUCGAGCGGAUGAACGGAGCUUGCUCCUGGCUUCAGCUGCGGACGGGUGAGUAAUGCCUAGGAAUCUGCCUGGUCUUUGGGGAUAACGUCCGGAAACGGGCGCUAAUACCGCAUACGUCCUGAUGUAGAACGUGGGGGAUCUUCGGACCUCACGCUAUCAGAUGAGCCUAGGUCGGAUUAGCUAGUUGGUGGGGUAAAGGCCUACCAAGGCGACGAUCCGUAACUGAUCUGAGAGGAUGAUCAGUCACACUGGAACUGAGACACGGUCCAGACUCCUACGGGAGGCAGCAGUAGGGAAUAUUGGGCAAUGGGCGAAAGCCUGAUCGAGCCAUGCCGCGUGUGUGAAGAAGGUCUUCGGAUUGUAAAGCACUUUAAGUUGGGAGGAAGAGCAGUAAGUUAAUACCUGGAUGUCUUGACGGUACCAAAAGAAUAAGCACCGGCUAACUACGUG
RNAcentral lists this ribosomal RNA (484 nucleotides) under uncultured bacterium. RNAcentral's name for it is "partial 16S ribosomal RNA". It matches the Rfam family "Bacterial small subunit ribosomal RNA", at positions 30 to 507 of the family's 1533-position model. The record is from RNAcentral.